RNAcentral lists this ribosomal RNA (906 nucleotides) under uncultured Mycobacterium sp. Its description in RNAcentral is "bacterial SSU rRNA". It matches the Rfam family "Bacterial small subunit ribosomal RNA", at positions 20 to 939 of the family's 1533-position model. The record is from RNAcentral. Lineage: Bacteria; Bacillati; Actinomycetota; Actinomycetes; Mycobacteriales; Mycobacteriaceae.
UGGCUCAGGACGAACGCUGGCGGCGUGCUUAACACAUGCAAGUCGAACGGAAAGGCCCCUUCGGGGGUACUCGAGUGGCGAACGGGUGAGUAACACGUGGGUAAUCUGCCCUGCACUUCGGGAUAAGCCUGGGAAACUGGGUCUAAUACCGGAUAUGACCACGAGGCGCAUGCCUUGUGGUGGAAAGCUUUUGCGGUGUGGGAUGGGCCCGCGGCCUAUCAGCUUGUUGGUGGGGUGACGGCCUACCAAGGCGACGACGGGUAGCCGGCCUGAGAGGGUGUCCGGCCACACUGGGACUGAGAUACGGCCCAGACUCCUACGGGAGGCAGCAGUGGGGAAUAUUGCACAAUGGGCGCAAGCCUGAUGCAGCGACGCCGCGUGGGGGAUGACGGCCUUCGGGUUGUAAACCUCUUUCAGCAGGGACGAAGCGCAAGUGACGGUACCUGCAGAAGAAGCACCGGCCAACUACGUGCCAGCAGCCGCGGUAAUACGUAGGGUGCGAGCGUUGUCCGGAAUUACUGGGCGUAAAGAGCUCGUAGGUGGUUUGUCGCGUUGUUCGUGAAAACCGGGGGCUUAACCCUCGGCGUGCGGGCGAUACGGGCAGACUGGAGUACUGCAGGGGAGACUGGAAUUCCUGGUGUAGCGGUGGAAUGCGCAGAUAUCAGGAGGAACACCGGUGGCGAAGGCGGGUCUCUGGGCAGUAACUGACGCUGAGGAGCGAAAGCGUGGGGAGCGAACAGGAUUAGAUACCCUGGUAGUCCACGCCGUAAACGGUGGGUACUAGGUGUGGGUUUCCUUCCUUGGAAUCCGUGCCGUAGCUAACGCAUUAAGUACCCCGCCUGGGGAGUACGGCCGCAAGGCUAAAACUCAAAGGAAUUGACGGGGGCCCGCACAAGCGGCGGAGCA